Molecule: long non-coding RNA, 1198 nt
Filed under: Homo sapiens (human)
Lineage: Eukaryota; Metazoa; Chordata; Mammalia; Primates; Hominidae
Description: long intergenic non-protein coding RNA 635
Source: RNAcentral
AUAGCAACAGCAGCGUAGCUGAACAUCUUACGGAUGGCCCAGGGCUCCAAAGGCUCGUUUCCUAAGUGAGAGAGAGCCUGGCUGAAGCUGUAUUACCAUUCAUUCUCCAGCCUCCGAAGUCUCAAAGCAUCACUUCCACCAUACUCUAACUGUCAAGACAAACACAAAGGCCCAGAAACUGCCAGACUGUCUUCUGAAGUGGCUAUAAUAUUUACACUCCCAUCAGCAGUGUAGAAGGGGUCUCACUAUGUUGUCUGGAGUGCUGUGGUGGAGUGGAGUGGCUAUUCACAGAGCCUGUUCUGCUGGGACACAGAAUCACUUGCUCCAUCUCAUACAUUGAUGAUGAUUAAUUUGUAUGUGUACCUUCCAAAAAAGAUGGUUGUGUUUGAAUGGAGGCCUUCUGGACAGGAAAAUUGCAAAGUACAAUUAACAUUUGAGUCUGUCUGAGUCAUGAAGAAAUGGAGAUUACUGAAAAUAAUUCAUUUUGGUAUCUUCUUACAUCCUGAGAGACUAAUCUUUCCAAGUUCAUCUGAGGCUCCUCUUCUCCAUGACAACCUCAUCCAGGGAUUUCUUCCUGUCCUGGUGUUUUAUGACAUAAUCACAUCCUUCCUGAGAUAAUGAGCACACAAUUGCCUGGAUACCUGAAGGAAUGGAGACAGCGGCAGAAAACACUGCAGAGAGGUGGAAACAUCCGUUAAUAUUUUAAAAUCCCAUUACUGCUACCAACAAUAAUAAUGGAUGCAUAGAAAUAGAUCUGGAUUAGCUGAGCUUGAAACAGUCCAUCUCACACACACACAAAAGAAUUUCAGAUACAGUGAACCCACAUGUUGAAGCUUUCUAGUAUAAUAAAAAUUUCAACUGUUCUGUUGAAUCAUCUGCCUGAUUGGAGGCUACAGAAAAGAUGUCAUCUUAGGAGUGCUUGCUCUGAGUGAGGCUCAUCUUCAAAUCUGAAUGACCACAAGGAGAUUUGAUUAUACAUGUGAACACCUCAGAAGGCACAGCCCACCCAGAAGGCAGACAGGAGGAGACAGACACUAGAGCUCACCGGCUCGCCCUCUCACUCCUACUCAUCUGAGAAGGCAGCCAGCUAACCCUUCAGCCAGGAAGAGGGUCCUCAUCAGAACCUGGCCGUGGUGGCAUCCAGAUCUUGAACCUCCGGACUCCAGACUGUGAGAAAAUAAGUGUGUUGUUUAAACUA